GACCAGACCGUGUAGUUUGAAGAAGUUAACAUCGGAAACUUGACAGUGGCUGGGCCGGUGUCUUUGUUCUUGACGAUCGCUUCUUUUAUGUCAGCCAUGGUUAUAGUUUCUUAAUUAGUUUGUGAUGCUCUGAUACCAAAUAUUGAAACACAAGAGUAAUAAGAAGUCCUUCUCUUAUUCAAUCAAUCAAGUAAACUCAAUCAAGCUCUCUCAAUCACACAACAACUCACACGCUUUGUCUAAAGACUAAAGCUUAUUUAUAAGGUAAUCAAAAAGUCCUAAUCCUAGUUGAUAAUCAUAAAACAUAUUAUGAUCAUUAUCCAAAACAAUUCAUAAAUCAACUAGGAAUCAAAUAACCUUGUUGCUCAAGGUUUCUUCAAGCUAACUUCAACAAAACAGCACAUUAGCAAUGGAUAAAUUUGUUUUUUUCAUGCUUAAAGAGAAAGUCUCACAAUAUACAAUUAGACAAGUAUAUAAUUUCUAAAAUGAAUAGUAAAAUUGUUGUAAACUUUUUUACGAAAGUUAAUACUAAUUUUAAGUUAAAAAUAAAUUAUACAUUUUUAAAAAAAUUGUACUAUUAGUUUAUUUAUUCGGGCGGACGGGUUUACCCUAGUGUUAUAUAUAACAAAUUCACAACUCAAAUAAUACAAACCUAAUAUAAGAAUGUAACCAACAUAUAAAGUUGAUAUAAUGAAGUAAAAUAUAAAUGCAAUUUUUUUUAUAAUCUCAUCCCGCACAAGGGUUACCACCUACUAAGCUAAUAUAAGGUAAUUUAUUGGGAAAAUCUUCACUCUUUACUGCGAAACAUACUAUAUAAUCACAUGCUAUAGUCUCACUACUCCAUCAAGAAAAACACAUCA
This 860-nucleotide long non-coding RNA is filed under the name Brassica napus (rape). RNAcentral describes it as "long non-coding RNA (BNAP_LNC020095)". Lineage: Eukaryota; Viridiplantae; Streptophyta; Magnoliopsida; Brassicales; Brassicaceae. The record is from RNAcentral.